GCCAAGAGGCAACUAGAGAUCAAUGCAACAAGCCUGGAGAGGCCAAUAGACCCUAAGGGGGCAAUCAGAAGCCAAACAACGCAAAUUCCAUUAACCUAACAUUAGAGAAACCCAACAAUGUCUACCCAUCGACAACCACUCCGGUGCUACCAUGUUGAUAUAGUUAUAGACUAUAUUAGAGUUUUCUCCUUGCAUAUUGUAUUGAUAUGGGAUUGAUAUAGUAAAAAUUCUUGCUACGGUCGACAUGAGUAGGGCUAUUAUCUGAGGGGCCUCAAAUCUAUCUAAAAAUCCACAUGUCCCCUUCUUGUUGCUACUGUCUUAUACUAUAUGUCCUUUUCAUCGGCUGAACCAUAUGUCCUCAUAUCGUAGUUGGAUCUUUGCUCGAUGAAAAGUAGAGCCAAAGAGUAGUUCAAGGAGUUAGCUCAUACUUAUGAUCGUAAACAGUAUUGGUUUGUCUUUAAUCAGAGAGAGCCAAUAGUUGCAAGGUAUAAAAUCCCAAACUUAACCCUUAUAGCAAGGGAGAGAAGAGGAUGUACGUUACAGAUAGGGA
Molecule: long non-coding RNA, 550 nt
Filed under: Oryza brachyantha (malo sina)
Lineage: Eukaryota; Viridiplantae; Streptophyta; Magnoliopsida; Poales; Poaceae
Description: long non-coding RNA (OBRA_LNC001863)
Source: RNAcentral